This 99-nucleotide ribosomal RNA is filed under the name bovine gut metagenome. The record is from RNAcentral.
CGGUGAGGGUCCACCUGUUCCCAUUCCGAACACAGAAGUUAAGCUCACCGGUGCCGAAGAUACUCGGAUGGAAGCGUCCCGGGAAAAUAGGGCGAUGCC